AGAACGACGAAUAAGCACGCCGAUACGAAAAAAAAAUGGGUAACAAACCAAAACACCAAAACGAAAUGUUUCAAGUCAACCACCAUAGUAUUGGUUCUGGACUGGAGAAGCUUCAUUAUAAUUGAUAUGAUACGAGGAUAACCUCCAGCAGUAAGAAAUAUAAAGGCUCACUGCAGUUUUGACUAUGCUCAACAAGUACUGACCCCAUACUAUGCUCAGCAAGUAGGGCCCUUGUAUUUCUGUGAAUCCUCAUGCAGUACAUUACUGCUGUUGGAAGAGGAGCAAACAGUGUGGUAUCUAUGGUCCACCAUCACUUUAAGCAUCAUGGCUAUGGAGAAAAGAAUGUUUCAUUACAUAUGGACAACUAUAGUGGACAAAAUAAGAAAAGUGUUGUAAUAAGCUGGAAUAUGGCUUGUUAUGAUGGGUCUACAUGAUGACUUGGAGUACAACCUGAUUGAGGCCCGGCAUACAGAAUUCAGUCCUGAACAUGUUUAGAAUGUCCUCUGCAUGACCUGGUAUAGUAUUCUUGAAGGAUUAUAACUUCAACACAGAGACGGAAAUUAAUAUUUUUAGGCAGGGGUUUGGCAUGACAGGCAAAUUCACCAACCGUAUUACCAUUCCUGAGUUGGAUGCCAGUCGACAGUGGUACCUGUAUAAUGAAAUAGUGCCCCUUUGCAGCAACAGCAAUGUAUGCUCAUAACCAGCAGUGCCAAAGCCAUUAAAAUUGAGAACUCGAGUCAUUUAAAACGAAGAAUGAAUGGAAAAAAAGUGUUUAACAUUUAAAGUAUUAAAUACAGAGAAAGAGCUCUGAAAUUUUGAUUAAUUUGAAAGUGUUUUUGAUUUUUUGAAGAUGUACUAGACCCAAAUUCCAUAUAUGUGAGGCGUUACGUCAUUUGAGAAAACAUCGAUUAAAGUACGUCACAAAAAAAUGGUGGACGUUACCACGUGUUCGCAGCAAUUAAUGCAUUUCUUGUUUUCAAUAAUACUCUACCUUGCCACAAGAAAAAAAUGAAGUGACAUUUAUAAACAUUUCCGUGUUUUGCAAUUCCGUUUCUUUAAAAAAUUUAAAUGAUUGAUAAUUUAUCGCCCUUUGAAUCGACACGCCAUAAUAAUGUAAACAUCGAAGGUCGCGGAGAAAAUGAAACUACCAAAAACAAUUAUUUGAUGAUUUAUUUCGAUUGUAUAAAGAAUGACAGUUAGCGAAUCUUAAGAUCAACCACUGAGGAUUGUUUGGCUUGAUGCAAUGACCUUAAACAGUGAAAUGAUUUUCCAGGAAAGUCUAUACACAACAAGCUGGAUUUUAUGGGGUGAUGAAAGAACUAUCAAUAUAUAAAUGGGAAUGAAACAGAAGGAAUUAAUAUGUUCUACUGAUCACCCAGCUGAAAUCAUGCCUGUGGAAUAGAGUGCAUGUCACAAAUACUGAUAUGAGCAAAUAACUCCAUACUGC
Molecule: long non-coding RNA, 1447 nt
Organism: Mercenaria mercenaria
Lineage: Eukaryota; Metazoa; Mollusca; Bivalvia; Venerida; Veneridae
Exons: 7
Source: RefSeq, a predicted model, not a curated record